Molecule: ribosomal RNA, 497 nt
Filed under: uncultured bacterium
Lineage: Bacteria
Description: partial 16S ribosomal RNA
Rfam family: Bacterial small subunit ribosomal RNA
Source: RNAcentral
GAUGAACGCUGGCGGCGUGCCUAAUACAUGCAAGUCGAGCGAACAGACGAGGAGCUUGCUCCUCUGACGUUAGCGGCGGACGGGUGAGUAACACGUGGAUAACCUACCUAUAAGACUGGGAUAACUUCGGGAAACCGGCGAUAAUACCGGAUAAUAUAUUGAACCGCAUGGUUCAAUAGUGAAAGACGGUUUUGCUGUCACUUAUAGAUGGAUCCGCGCCGCAUUAGCUAGUUGGUAAGGUAACGGCUUACCAAGGCAACGAUGCGUAGCCGACCUGAGAGAGUGAUCGGCCACACUGGAGCUGAGACACGGUCCAGACUCCUACGGGAGGCAGCAGUAUGGAAUCUGCCGCAAUGGUCGAAAGCUUUGCGGAGCAACGCCGCGUGAGUGAUGAAGGUCUUCGGAUCGUAAAACUCUGUUAUUAGUGAAGAACAAAUGUGUAAGGAACUAUGCACGUCUUGACGGUACCCAAUCAGAAAGCCACGGCUAACUACGUG